Nomia melanderi (Alkali bee) is the source of this 275-nucleotide long non-coding RNA. RefSeq lists it as uncharacterized. NCBI's taxonomy places the organism in Eukaryota, Metazoa, Arthropoda, Insecta, Hymenoptera, Halictidae. The record is from RefSeq and is a predicted model, not a curated record.
GAGCUGCCAGUUCGUCGUUGAGGAUCUUUGGCACGGAUCCAAUAGCAUUCUUGGGAACUCCCGCGUGCUUCUGAAUAAUAUAUUACUGGUAGGAAGCCAGAUAACAAGUUUCCGGUUCACGCAGAGUCCCAGAAAUAUUCCUUCGAUGAGGUUCACUGCGAUUCUAUAGAGAGCAAAUACUUUUCACUUGGGUGCACUGCAUGGUGGAGUCUAAUGUAAUGUAAUGUAAUCCCACGAAAAGGUGUGACCGUCUCGGCCAUUAAUGAAACUGCGAG